AGGACGAACGCUGGCGGCGUGCUUAACACAUGCAAGUCGAACGGUGAGCCAGGGCUUGCCUUGGGGAUCAGUGGCGAACGGGUGAGUAACACGUGGGCAACCUGCCCCAGACUCUGGGAUAACUCCGGGAAACCGGGGCUAAUACCGGAUACGACCUCCUUGGGCAUCCUUGGAGGUGGAAAGUUUUUCGGUCUGGGAUGGGCCCGCGGCCUAUCAGCUUGUUGGUGGGGUAAUGGCCUACCAAGGCGACGACGGGUA
Molecule: ribosomal RNA, 258 nt
Filed under: uncultured bacterium
Lineage: Bacteria
Description: partial small subunit ribosomal RNA
Rfam family: Bacterial small subunit ribosomal RNA
Source: RNAcentral